UCAUGGCCCUUACGGCCAGGGCUACACACGUGCUACAAUGGCGCGCACAGAGGGCUGCAAACCCGCGAGGGGGAGCUAAUCUCACAAAACGCGUCGUAGUCCGGAUCGCAGUCUGCAACUCGACUGCGUGAAGUCGGAAUCGCUAGUAAUCGUGAAUCAGAAUGUCACGGUGAAUACGUUCCCGGGCCUUGUACACACCGUCCGUCACACCAUGGGAGUGGAUUGCUCCAGAAGUGGUUAGUCUAACCUUCGG
This 253-nucleotide ribosomal RNA is filed under the name Marinobacter sp. Its description in RNAcentral is "partial 16S ribosomal RNA". It matches the Rfam family "Bacterial small subunit ribosomal RNA", at positions 1193 to 1445 of the family's 1533-position model. The record is from RNAcentral. Lineage: Bacteria; Pseudomonadati; Pseudomonadota; Gammaproteobacteria; Pseudomonadales; Marinobacteraceae.